RNAcentral lists this ribosomal RNA (494 nucleotides) under uncultured bacterium. RNAcentral's name for it is "partial 16S ribosomal RNA". It matches the Rfam family "Bacterial small subunit ribosomal RNA", at positions 30 to 507 of the family's 1533-position model. The record is from RNAcentral.
AUUGAACGCUGGCGGCAUGCUUUACACAUGCAAGUCGAACGGCAGCGGGGAGGAGCUUGCUUCUCUGCCGGCGAGUGGCGAACGGGUGAGUAAUACAUCGGAACGUGUCGAGAAGAGGGGGAUAACCACCCGAAAGGGUGGCUAAUACCGCAUAAAUUCUGAGGAAGAAAGCUGGGGACCUGGGAAUAGGCCUAGCGCUUUUUGAGCGGCCGAUGUCGGAUUAGCUAGUUGGUGAGGUAAAGGCUCACCAAGGCGAAGAUCUGUAGCGGGUCUGAGAGGAUGAUCCGCCACACUGGGACUGAGACACGGCCCAGACUCCUACGGGAGGCAGCAGUGGGGAAUUUUGGACAAAGGGGGCAACCCUGAUCCAGCCAUGCCGCGUGUAUGAAGAAGGCCUUAGGGUUGUAAAGUACUUUUGUUAGGGAAGAAAAGUCAGCUGUGAAUAAUGGCUGAUACUGACGGUACCUAAAGAAUAAGCACCGGCUAACUACGUG